CUACACAUGCAGUCGAGCGGAUGACGGGAGCUUGCUCCUUGAUUCAGCGGCGGACGGGUGAGUAAUGCCUAGGAAUCUGCCUGGUAGUGGGGGACAACGUUUCGAAAGGAACGCUAAUACCGCAUACGUCCUACGGGAGAAAGCAGGGGACCUUCGGGCCUUGCGCUAUCAGAUGAGCCUAGGUCGGAUUAGCUAGUUGGUGGGGUAAUGGCUCACCAAGGCGACGAUCCGUAACUGGUCUGAGAGGAUGAUCAGUCACACUGGAACUGAGACACGGUCCAGACUCCUACGGGAGGCAGCAGUGGGGAAUAUUGGACAAUGGGCGAAAGCCUGAUCCAGCCAUGCCGCGUGUGUGAAGAAGGUCUUCGGAUUGUAAAGCACUUUAAGUUGGGAGGAAGGGCAGUAAGUUAAUACCUUGCUGUUUUGACGUUACCGACAGAAUAAGCACCGGCUAACUCUGUGCCAGCAGCCGCGGUAAUACAGAGGGUGCAAGCGUUAAUCGGAAUUACUGGGCGUAAAGCGCGCGUAGGUGGUUUGUUAAGUUGGA
This 547-nucleotide ribosomal RNA is filed under the name bacterium amp-w-34. Its description in RNAcentral is "bacterial SSU rRNA". It matches the Rfam family "Bacterial small subunit ribosomal RNA", at positions 49 to 592 of the family's 1533-position model. The record is from RNAcentral.